GAAGCAGCCAUCAUUUAAAGAAAGCGUAAUAGCUCACUGGUCGAGUCGGCCUGCGCGGAAGAUGUAACGGGGCUAAACCAUGCACCGAAGCUGCGGCAGCGACACUAUGUGUUGUUGGGUAGGGGAGCGUUCUGUAAGCCGUUGAAGGUGUGCUGUGAGGCAUGCUGGAGGUAUCAGAAGUGCGAAUGCUGACAUAAGUAACGAUAAAGCGGGUGAAAAGCCCGCUCGCCGGAAGACCAAGGGUUC
RNAcentral lists this ribosomal RNA (246 nucleotides) under Enterobacter hormaechei. Its description in RNAcentral is "partial 23S ribosomal RNA". It matches the Rfam family "Bacterial large subunit ribosomal RNA", at positions 1109 to 1354 of the family's 2925-position model. The record is from RNAcentral. Lineage: Bacteria; Pseudomonadati; Pseudomonadota; Gammaproteobacteria; Enterobacterales; Enterobacteriaceae.